UCAGUAUUUUUUAAGCAACCGUAAUAUAGCAUGAAGCUACUUGUUCACAAAAUUUCAGUACCAUGACAAUUUGCAGCUUUUUAUGUACUCUUCAUGAGUUAAUCUAAGAUUACGUGUAUUUUGCACUUCCAAUUUAAUUCAGUAUUGUCCCUAAAAUUAAAAAGGAUCUUAGUACUUGCUUCUUAGGUUCAUUAGAUCAAUAGUAGUGACAACAUCCAAGUAUAUUAAUCUAAUGCAAGGUGUCAUACACUAAAAAAAGAAAAAGAAAAGGAAUAAAAAACUCAGAUACACUUCUAAGAGCUGAGCUUCUAAUGUAACAUUAUAACAAAAAGAAUUGAAUUGAAGAGCAUAUGAAGGUUCAGAUAGCGAAAAAGACAAUCAUAAUCACGGUAGAAAAUAUAAUGUGAAUAGAUUAUUACUAUUAAAGAAGUAAAGAAAAGAAUAGUCAUUAGGGUCCUCUUUAAAUAUAACUACAAUAGAAACAUUUGUUCCUACAACUAAUUUUGUCAAGGUAUCCAUAGCAAAAUCAUGAAAGCAUGUAAGAUUAUAUUGAUUAAAACUAUACAUGUUGCCUACAAAAAAGUAAUAAAAGAACUAUACAAAUAUCUAAUAUUGGAAAAUCUACACAAAAUUCAUCAAAAAACUUGAAUAACUAAGGGUCAGAAGGUGAUGAAUCUGACCACGAGGAAGGAGCAUCCAUAGUAUGAUCAAAUUCACAAUUAAAAUGCAAUCUCUUGGACAGAGCUCUGGAAUUUUCAAAUUUAAUGUGGUGCUAAUAAGAGGAAGAGCUUCCAAAUGAUGCAGAGAUAAAAUGUUUCAGGAAUAAAUAAAUAAAAACCUAAAGAUAAAUCUGAAAAUACAAUAAGCAUAAAGUUUAGUCUGCAAAGUAUAUAUUAUCUUGACCAAUUACAGUAUGACUUAUUCAAUGUAUAUUGUCUAAUAUCUCUCUAUGUUGACCAUUCCUUGUUUUCUUUAUAGAAAAGAAAAACAUCAACUUAAUUGAUAUUGUAUAACUGAUCUCCGGAAAAAAUCUUCAUAACUAAGUCGAAAAGAAAAGCUUUUCCAUCAAAUCCAAUCACAAAGAAUGUACCGCAAUUACAUGUAGUAGUGUAACAUAUAGCAAGACUGGUGGAUCAAUUAAAGUGAAGACUCUAGAUUAAUCAAGUCCUAAAUGAGGUACAUUCAAUUGGGUUAAAGAUUAUGCAACUGCCUUAUGCGGCUAAUCCAUUAGGAAAUGCUGAUACUUUAGGCAACU
This 1255-nucleotide long non-coding RNA is filed under the name Solanum tuberosum (potato). RNAcentral's name for it is "long non-coding RNA (STUB_LNC004770)". Lineage: Eukaryota; Viridiplantae; Streptophyta; Magnoliopsida; Solanales; Solanaceae. The record is from RNAcentral.